Molecule: transfer RNA, 69 nt
Filed under: Homola orientalis
Lineage: Eukaryota; Metazoa; Arthropoda; Malacostraca; Decapoda; Homolidae
Description: tRNA-Trp
Rfam family: tRNA
About the family: Transfer RNA (tRNA) molecules are approximately 80 nucleotides in length. Their secondary structure includes four short double-helical elements and three loops (D, anti-codon, and T loops).
Source: RNAcentral
AAGAUUUUAAGUUAUCCAAACUAUUGGCCUUCAAAGCCUAAAAAAAAAGUUUCACCCUUUUAAAUCUUA